UGUUCUCAGUUCGGACUGCAGUCUGCAACUCGACUGCACGAAGCUGGAAUCGCUAGUAAUCGCGGAUCAGCACGCCGCGGUGAAUACGUUCCCGGGCCUUGUACACACCGCCCGUCACACCAUGGAAGUCUGCAAUGCCCGAAGCCGGUGGCCUAACCACUUAUGUGGAAGGAGCCGUCUAAGGCAGGGCAGAUGACUGGGGUGAAGUCGUAACAAGGUACC
RNAcentral lists this ribosomal RNA (222 nucleotides) under uncultured bacterium. Its description in RNAcentral is "partial 16S ribosomal RNA". It matches the Rfam family "Bacterial small subunit ribosomal RNA", at positions 1283 to 1500 of the family's 1533-position model. The record is from RNAcentral.